AUUCCAGCUCCAAUAGCGUAUAUUUAAGUUGUUGCAGUUAAAAAGCUCGUAGUUGGACCUUGGGACGUCACGGUCGGUCCGCCUUCUUGGUGUGCACUGGCCCUCACGUCCCUUCUGCCGGCGGCGUGUUCCUGGCCUUAAUUGGCUGGGUCGCGGUUCCGGCGCCGUUACUUUGAAAAAAUUAGAGUGCUCAAAGCAAGCCUACGCUCUGAAUACAUUAGCAUGGAAUAACGCGAUAGGAGUCUGGUCCUGUUCCGUUGGCCUUCGGGACCGGAGUAAUGAUUAAUAGGGACUGUCGGGGGCAUUCGUAUUUCAUUGUCAGAGGUGAAAUUCUUGGAUUUAUGGAAGACGAACCACUGCGAAAGCAUUUGCCAAGGAUGUUUUCAUUG
RNAcentral lists this ribosomal RNA (389 nucleotides) under Embryophyta sp. Its description in RNAcentral is "partial small subunit ribosomal RNA". It matches the Rfam family "Eukaryotic small subunit ribosomal RNA", at positions 582 to 975 of the family's 1831-position model. The record is from RNAcentral. Lineage: Eukaryota; Viridiplantae; Streptophyta.